This 771-nucleotide ribosomal RNA is filed under the name uncultured bacterium. Its description in RNAcentral is "bacterial SSU rRNA". It matches the Rfam family "Bacterial small subunit ribosomal RNA", at positions 1 to 761 of the family's 1533-position model. The record is from RNAcentral.
UAGAGUUUGAUCCUGGCUCAGGACGAACGCUGGCGGCGUGCCUAAUACAUGCAAGUAGAACGCUGAAGAGAGGAGCUUGCUCUUCUUGGAUGAGUUGCGAACGGGUGAGUAACGCGUAGGUAACCUGCCUUGUAGCGGGGGAUAACUAUUGGAAACGAUAGCUAAUACCGCAUAACAAUGGAUGACACAUGUCAUUUAUUUGAAAGGGGCAAUUGCUCCACUACAAGAUGGACCUGCGUUGUAUUAGCUAGUAGGUGAGGUAAUGGCUCACCUAGGCGACGAUACAUAGCCGACCUGAGAGGGUGAUCGGCCACACUGGGACUGAGACACGGCCCARACUCCUACGGGAGGCAGCAGUAGGGAAUCUUCGGCAAUGGGGGCAACCCUGACCGAGCAACGCCGCGUGAGUGAAGAAGGUUUUCGGAUCGUAAAGCUCUGUUGUAAGUCAAGAACGGGUGUGAGAGUGGAAAGUUCACACUGUGACGGUAGCUUACCAGAAAGGGACGGCUAACUACGUGCCAGCAGCCGCGGUAAUACGUAGGUCCCGAGCGUUGUCCGGAUUUAUUGGGCGUAAAGCGAGCGCAGGCGGUUUGAUAAGUCUGAAGUUAAAGGCUGUGGCUCAACCAUAGUUCGCUUUGGAAACUGUCAAACUUGAGUGCAGAAGGGGAGAGUGGAAUUCCAUGUGUAGCGGUUGAAAUGCGUAGAUAUAUGGAAGGAACACCCGGUGGCGAAAGCGGCUCUCUGGUCUGUAACUGACGCUGAGGUGANGUG